CCAAUUUGGAACCAGUCCAUUGUUCCAUGUCCAGUUCUAACUCUUGCUUCUUAACCUGCAUACAGGUUUCUCAGGAGGCAGGUAAGGUGGUCUGGUACGUUGCAGCAAGGGUGAUGUUAAAUCUGAAUAUAAUGGAAACUCACUAGUCUUCACAUGAAUGGGUUUCAAUUCUGGUGGUGUCUGAAAUUGUAGUUUGAAGACUAACUGUAUCACCAUCGUUCUUAGACAUGUGCAUUCUCAGACUCCCAGACUCCACCUUUGACCCACUGAAUGAAACUGCAGCAUUGGCACCCAGUCAUCUAUGUCCUAACAAACACUGGACUUGACUCUCAUGAAGAACAAAGUUUGACAAUCAUUGGUAUAUUGGUUUCUCCAUGUGAAUGAACUUCUCUUUUUGCACUUAGUUUCCCAUUUCAAAAAAAAGUCUUGGCUUUGUCAUUGUGUAUAUCAAUCUGAACGUGGACUUGAGAUGCCAAAGAGAAACAAUCUUUGUGGAAAACAGAUAUAGGUGAAUUCCCAUUUUUAUCUAUUCUGAAAUACUUCUAUCACAUUUUUAGAAAUACAGGACCUGAUUCAUUGGAUAAUUUCUCCUGUUUUGCAGGAGCUUCUUUAAUUAAUAUAUCUUUCCUCAGGGACAGGAUAUCAAUCAUUGAAACCCACUCUAAUAUCUUGGUUGAAAUAAGAUUUGAGGACAGUGGAAAGAAGAGGAGUCUUCCAAGGCAGCAAUCAAAAAUGGAUGGGAAGUCUAUGACUGUAAGCAACAUGAGAAAGGCUUCAGUGAAGACACUAACAUUAUGAUACACAGGAAUAUUCAGAAUGGAGAGAACACUUAAGAGCAUAAUGAGUGUGGAAGAAGCUUCCUACCUCCACAGAAGAAAACCUCUACUGUUGUGAAGCAUUCUGUUUAAUUAGUGUGGAAAAGCCAUCAGUCUGACUGAAUGCUGUAGAUGGGAGAACCAGCAUGGGAGAGAAAGCUGGAAGCCUCUGAGCAUCAGCUUUCUCUUCAGGCACAAAUGGUAACUCAGAAUGGGGAAAAACUGUGAAUAGAAGUAACAUGGGAAAGCUUCUGUUCACUUCCAAGCUAUGAUGUACAUGUACUAAAUCACACCUCAAACUAGUUAUGAAUGUAAGGAGUGUGGGAAAGUAUCGUACAUCCCUUAAAAUUCAUAUGGGAAUUCAUACUGGAGAGAAACUCAUGUUAAUGUAAAGAAUAUGGGAAAGCCUUCAUUAUACCUUCUAAACUUAAGCGGUAUAUAAAAUCUCAUACUGGAGACAGCACUUUAUAAGUAAGAAAUUUAGGAAAGCUUUCAUUAGAGUUUAUAAGUAGGUUUGAUGCAUGAUACAGGAUGCUUGGGGCUGGUGCACUGGGAUGACCCAGAU
RNAcentral lists this long non-coding RNA (1380 nucleotides) under Bos indicus x Bos taurus (hybrid cattle). Its description in RNAcentral is "lncRNA (ENSBIXG00000027921.1)". The record is from RNAcentral. Lineage: Eukaryota; Metazoa; Chordata; Mammalia; Artiodactyla; Bovidae.